This 217-nucleotide ribosomal RNA is filed under the name Clostridioides difficile. RNAcentral's name for it is "partial 23S ribosomal RNA". It matches the Rfam family "Bacterial large subunit ribosomal RNA", at positions 57 to 274 of the family's 2925-position model. The record is from RNAcentral. Lineage: Bacteria; Bacillati; Bacillota; Clostridia; Peptostreptococcales; Peptostreptococcaceae.
CGUGAUAAGCUGCGAUAAGCUUCGGGGAGUUGCACGUAAACUUUGAUCCGAAGAUUUCCGAAUGAGGAAACUCACUUAGAGUAAUGUCUAAGUAUCAUUAAGUGAAUACAUAGCUUAAUGAGGGGAACUCAGGGAACUGAAACAUCUAAGUACCUGAAGGAAGAGAAAGAAAUUCGAUUCCGUAAGGAGCGGCGAGCGAACGCGGAUUAGCCCAAAC